CCAUUAAGGGAUCUCAAUCAGCUAGAAACAUGUGCAACGCGCCAUCCCCCAGGGCCCCUUUGACGUCCCAGGUGUAGUAGGAAUGCAGAGUGGUGUAGUGCGGCCUAAAUUUCUCUUUAUGUGUCACGGUGCUCCUACCUGGAU
Bufo bufo (common toad) is the source of this 144-nucleotide long non-coding RNA. RefSeq lists it as uncharacterized. NCBI's taxonomy places the organism in Eukaryota, Metazoa, Chordata, Amphibia, Anura, Bufonidae. The record is from RefSeq and is a predicted model, not a curated record. The transcript is spliced from 3 exons.